GAUGAACGCUGGCGGCGUGCUUAACACAUGCAAGUCGAACGAUGAAGCCCAGCUUGCUGGGUGGAUUAGUGGCGAACGGGUGAGUAACACGUGAGUAACCUGCCCUUGACUCUGGGAUAAGCCUGGGAAACUGGGCCUAAUACUGGAUAUGACUUCUCAUCGCAUGGUGGGGGGUGGAAAGAUUUAUUGGUCUUGGAUGGACUGGCGGCCUAUCAGCUUGUUGGUGGGGAAAUGGUUCACCAAGGCGACGACGGGUAGCCGGCCUGAGAGGGUGACGGGCCACACUGGGACUGAGACACGGCCCAGACUCCUACGGGAGGCAGCAGUGGGGAAUAUUGCACAAUGGGCGCAAGCCUGAUGCAGCGACGCCGCGUGAGGGAUGACGGCCUUCGGGUUGUAAACCUCUUUCAGUAGGGAAGAAGCGAGAGUGACGGUACCUGCAGAAGAAGCGCCGGCUAACUACGUG
RNAcentral lists this ribosomal RNA (466 nucleotides) under uncultured bacterium. RNAcentral's name for it is "partial 16S ribosomal RNA". It matches the Rfam family "Bacterial small subunit ribosomal RNA", at positions 28 to 507 of the family's 1533-position model. The record is from RNAcentral.